Molecule: ribosomal RNA, 476 nt
Filed under: uncultured bacterium
Lineage: Bacteria
Description: partial 16S ribosomal RNA
Rfam family: Bacterial small subunit ribosomal RNA
Source: RNAcentral
UGGGGAAUAUUGCACAAUGGGCGAAAGCCUGAUGCAGCAACGCCGCGUGAGUGAUGAAGGUCUUCGGAUUGUAAAGCUCUGUCUUUUGGGACGAUAAUGACGGUACCAAAGGAGGAAGCCACGGCUAACUACGUGCCAGCAGCCGCGGUAAUACGUAGGUGGCGAGCGUUGUCCGGAUCUACUGGGCGUAAAGGGUGCGUAGGCGGAUGUUUAAGUGAGAUGUGAAAUACCCGGGCUUAACUUGGGUGCUGCAUUUCAAACUGGAUAUCUAGAGUGCAGGAGAGGAGAAUGGAAUUCCUAGUGUAGCGGUGAAAUGCGUAGAGAUUAGGAAGAACACCAGUGGCGAAGGCGAUUCUCUGGACUGUAACUGACGCUGAGGCACGAAAGCGUGGGUAGCAAACAGGAUUAGAUACCCUGGUAGUCCACGCCGUAAACGAUGAGUACUAGGUGUAGGAGGUAUCGACCCCUUCUGUGCC